Molecule: ribosomal RNA, 301 nt
Filed under: uncultured bacterium
Lineage: Bacteria
Description: partial 16S ribosomal RNA
Rfam family: Bacterial small subunit ribosomal RNA
Source: RNAcentral
CAGUAGCCACGGGAACACAGAGGGUGCAAGCGUUAAUCGGAAUUACUGGGCGUAAAGCGCGCGUAGGUGGUUUGUUAAGUUGGAUGUGAAAGCCCCGGGCUCAACCUGGGAACUGCAUCCAAAACUGGCAAGCUAGAGUACGGUAGAGGGUGGUGGAAUUUCCUGUGUAGCGGUGAAAUGCGUAGAUAUAGGAAGGAACACCAGUGGCGAAGGCGACCACCUGGACUGAUACUGACACUGAGGUGCGAAAGCGUGGGGAGCAAACAGGAUUAGAUACCCCUGUAGUCCCUGUCUCUUAUAC